This 35-nucleotide ribosomal RNA is filed under the name Chascolytrum subaristatum. RNAcentral's name for it is "partial 18S ribosomal RNA". RNAcentral also lists the same sequence under 1 other name. The record is from RNAcentral. Lineage: Eukaryota; Viridiplantae; Streptophyta; Magnoliopsida; Poales; Poaceae.
CUGAACCUUAUCAUUUAGAGGAAGGAGAAGUCGUA